GAGAGAAGGACAUGUUCUAAAGAGGGAAGAAGAGAGAGAGAGAAGGACAUGUUCUAAAGAGGGAAGAAGAGAACAGACCGACAGGACGAGUUUGACUGAGACGAGGACGAGGAAGCAGCUCAAACCGGUUUAUUCUCAGAAAGGACAUUUGAACAGGCAGCACCAGGUUCUAAUAUCAACUCCAACAGUUCAUAGAAUGAACUGAAUUAGAACAGAAGGGAGUUGAGGACUAGUCUGAUCAGCCUGACAUCAACCUGCUGGGUUCUCUCAGUCUUCACACACGUCCUGUAGCAGCGGCUCACACCAGUGAGGGAGGUUCAGUCUCUUGCUCAGGGGCACUCCGGCAGGCAGAUGGAGGUUCGUCCAGUUGUGUUGGGACAUGGGAGCGGGUCAGCUUCUACAUUUCAAGCUCUGUACAAAUCUCCAUCUGGCUACAGAGUCAAUGAGUCGCUCACUCACAUAUUUGUAGUAUUGUUUCAAUCUCUUUCUCAAGCUGUGUUAUCUAAGUCCAGCUUAGCACGCACUAGUUAACUUAGCAGAACUUUUAAAUUCAUGAAAAAUAUGUGUAUCUGUAUGUGAUCAGUUCAUUCAUAAACAUAUGAUAAUAUGUGUUUCACUGCCAAUACAAACUUAGCAGUUAUAUCAACUACACACACACACACAUAGACAGACACAGACACACACAGACACACACACAGACACACACACACAGACACAAUGUUAGUCAAUGUUAAAUGAAUAAAGUGAUGAAGAGCUUGUUUGAAAUGA
Pleuronectes platessa (European plaice) is the source of this 768-nucleotide long non-coding RNA. RefSeq lists it as uncharacterized. The transcript has 2 exons. The record is from RefSeq and is a predicted model, not a curated record. Lineage: Eukaryota; Metazoa; Chordata; Actinopteri; Pleuronectiformes; Pleuronectidae.